CCUACGGGUGGCUGCAGUGGGGAAUAUUGGACAAUGGGGGGAACCCUGAUCCAGCGACGCCGCGUGGGUGAGGAAGUACUUCGGUACGUAAAGCCCUAUCAGCAGGGAAGAAAAUGACGGUACCUGACUAAGAAGCCCCGGCUAACUACGUGCCAGCAGCCGCGGUAAUACGUAGGGGGCAAGCGUUAUCCGGAUUUACUGGGUGUAAAGGGAGCGUAGACGGCGUGGCAAGUCUGGUGUGAAAUGCCGGGGCGCAACCCCGGGACUGCAUUGGAAACUGGCAUGCUGGAGUGCAGGAGGGGUAAGCGGAAUUCCUAGUGUAGCGGUGAAAUGCGUAGAUAUUAGGAGGAACACCGGCGGCGAAGGCGGCUUACUGGACGGUAACUGACGUUGAGGCUCGAAGGCGUGGGGAGCAAACAGGAUUAGAUACCCCUGUAGUC
RNAcentral lists this ribosomal RNA (440 nucleotides) under uncultured bacterium. RNAcentral's name for it is "partial 16S ribosomal RNA". It matches the Rfam family "Bacterial small subunit ribosomal RNA", at positions 338 to 795 of the family's 1533-position model. The record is from RNAcentral.